This 496-nucleotide small RNA is filed under the name Pan troglodytes (chimpanzee). Its description in RNAcentral is "processed transcript". Lineage: Eukaryota; Metazoa; Chordata; Mammalia; Primates; Hominidae. The record is from RNAcentral.
GCCGGGGGCGUCAGGCUCUGUGUUGGUUGGAGCGAGCAUGUGGGUCUGCAGUACCCUGUGGCGGGUGCGAACCCCCGCCCGGCAGUGGCGGGGGCUGCUCCCAGCUUCUGGCUGUCGCGGACCUGCCGCCUCCUCCUACUCCGCAUCCGCCGAGCCUGCCCGGGUCCGGGCGCUUGUCUAUGGGCACCACGGGGAUCCAGCCAAGGUCGUCGAGUGUACAGCCUUGGCCUCAAAGGAGCCAUUGUGACCUUAUCCAGGCUGGGAUCUGUUGAUUGAGGACAGUGGCAUCCCCUCGAGUUGCAUGGCGCCAUUACACUCACGGAGGACGUGAACGGGUCUCCUGUUGCCCAGGCUAGAGUGCAGUGGUCAUUCACAGGUGUGAUGAUGGUACACAAUAGCCUUGAACUGAGCACAAGCAACUCUCCUUCCUCAGCCUCCCAAGUAGCUGGGACUACACAGGUAUAACCAGGGAAUUGUUUCAGAGGUUUCCUUGGAU